Long non-coding RNA from Mesocricetus auratus (golden hamster), 944 nucleotides. RefSeq lists it as uncharacterized. The transcript has 2 exons. NCBI's taxonomy places the organism in Eukaryota, Metazoa, Chordata, Mammalia, Rodentia, Cricetidae. The record is from RefSeq and is a predicted model, not a curated record.
UAUGGGUCCAGACUUCAGCCCACGUCCAGUCUGUGGACAUUUACUGCACUUAAACAGCUGUCUCCCUGGUGUAGAAUUCCCCAAAACUGACGGCUUUUCAAUCCAAGUGACACGUCCACCAAAACAUCCCUCCAAAAGAGCCUGAGCCCGGUGCUCCUCUGGCGGAAAUCCGAGUCGCAGAGAAGCCCAGACCCCUUCAAGCUCACACAGGAUUUUGGGUGACUGCACAGAGCGGGGACCAGAGCACAAUGGUCCUGUGGGAAGCCGGGCGUUUUUGUGAGCCAGCCAGGGGGCAGGCGCAGAAACAGGAAGGCCGAGAUUACGGUUCGCUUUACAGCUCUUUUGAAGUCGCCGGAGCCAGUUUGGGAAGCCUGCAGGCUGCGAGCGAGCGCGCUGAUCAAAGGUCCCUCGGCGGGCUCAAAUUAACACGGAGCUGGCGAGCCGAGCAGCACCUGCCCGCGAAGAGCAGCAAACCGGCUCAUCUUGCUCUUCUUGUGCGGAGGAGACUCGGGAAACCCAGAGGAUGUGUCUGCGCCUCCUCGGAGUCCCCCCAAGAAGCAGAUGUGGUCAAAAGGAAAUGGAAUGGGGAGAGGUGUUUAGAAAAGAGAAUCUGUAAACGAUCAUUUGCCAAGGCAACUCCAAAAUCUUCAUUUAAGAGUGUAGGGUUGGUGUUUUGUUUUCUGUGUUUGUUUUUUUUCUCUGCAAGUCGUUUGAUUUCCGGCCCAGAGUAUACUCAGGAUGAAUCGGCAGAAUCCGCUGGUGAAUGGGGGUUGCAUUCAGACAAACUGAACCCGAGGGAAUCAGCUUCCUCCCUGUGCAGUAGUAACCCUCCCACUAAAUUGUGAAGUCUAAACGACGUGUACAUAAGAUGCUCAAUAAAAUACAAUAAUGUAAUAAACGAUAAUAUGAGAUGUCCAAUAAAUAUACUAUUGCUUUUAAAUUAA